GCCUUCGUGGUGUAGUGGUCUGCAUGUUCGGACGCGUAACCGAGAGGUCCGUGGUUCGAUUCCCGGCGAAGGCG
This 74-nucleotide transfer RNA is filed under the name Stegodyphus mimosarum. It matches the Rfam family "tRNA". Rfam says of the family: Transfer RNA (tRNA) molecules are approximately 80 nucleotides in length. Their secondary structure includes four short double-helical elements and three loops (D, anti-codon, and T loops). Further hydrogen bonds mediate the characteristic L-shaped molecular structure. tRNAs have two regions of fundamental functional importance: the anti-codon, which is responsible for specific mRNA codon recognition, and the 3' end, to which the tRNAs corresponding amino acid is attached (by aminoacyl-tRNA synthetases). tRNAs cope with the degeneracy of the genetic code in two manners: having more than one tRNA (with a specific anti-codon) for a particular amino acid; and 'wobble' base-pairing, i.e. permitting non-standard base-pairing at the 3rd anti-codon position. Lineage: Eukaryota; Metazoa; Arthropoda; Arachnida; Araneae; Eresidae. The record is from Rfam by way of RNAcentral.